Molecule: long non-coding RNA, 848 nt
Organism: Xiphias gladius (swordfish)
Lineage: Eukaryota; Metazoa; Chordata; Actinopteri; Istiophoriformes; Xiphiidae
Exons: 4
Source: RefSeq, a predicted model, not a curated record
CUUGAAGUGUCUACUCACAAACUAGCUCGCACUCAUUAAAGACACAUAUGUAAUUCCCCAGUAACCUCAGGUUUCAGGCUGCAGAUGAUCACAACGUCAGCUGUAAGCAGCUCCCUUCACUGUGCGGAUGUUAUAGUGCAUUUUCAUCUUCACCAAAUCAGGUGAUAGAACAGAUAAAGACAGAAUGACAAUGUGGGGAGAGACAGAAGAGUAUGACAAGCAGUAAGAAAAAAGCCACAACUGAACCAGGGACCUCUGCAGUUAUACGCAUGUCAAGUCGUGCACUCUCACGUCGGAGCAACGCUGCAAUCCUUCAGGCCCGGCCCAAAAAGCAUCUCUCACAUAAAUCAAGCAAAACCCCGAGAGCGCAGCAGGCCCCAAGAGCAUGCUGAUCACCCCGACACUCAUUCCCCUGCCACCGGUCUCCUGGGCUGCCUAAGCCCACAGGAACCCACACCCUGGAGCACAGACCCUGCCAGUCGGCAACAGCAUGCAGAGCGGGUCCUGAGUGCUGGGGGAUUGGGAUGUCGUGGACGCAUGUCACUUUGAUUCAGUGCCUACAGACCGAUGUUUGAGAUGCAGAGAAGCGGAUUCAAGCUGUGACAUAAACAAAUCAAUAUUUCUCAAGAGGCGCAAUUCUCUACACAUGCCAGUCUCCCAGAGCACUGCCUUACAUGCAUGGGACAAAAGGCUGUAGUGUCAUACAAUAAAUGGCCCCGAUGCUAUUUGCAGUACCGUACAGUAUGUGGCUAUUAUCGCAAUACUGCCAAACAUACCCACUCAGUUGUAAGUCUAUGUGUUUUUGUAGUGCAGUAUUAUACACAGACGGUAUAGUUGACAAGGCUACA